Molecule: ribosomal RNA, 253 nt
Filed under: uncultured bacterium
Lineage: Bacteria
Description: partial 16S ribosomal RNA
Rfam family: Bacterial small subunit ribosomal RNA
Source: RNAcentral
UACGGGGGGGGCAAGCGUUGUUCGGAAUUACUGGGCGUAAAGGGCUCGUAGGCGGCCAUCUAAGUCGGAUGUGAAAUCCCCAAGCUUAACUUGGGAACUGCAUCCGAUACUGGAUGGCUUGAAUCCGGGAGAGGGAUGCAGAAUUCCAGGUGUAGCGGUGAAAUGCGUAGAUAUCUGGAGGAAUACCGGUGGCGAAGGCGGCAUCCUGGACCGGCAUUGACGCUGAGGAGCGAAAGCUAGGGGAGCAAACGGG